This 444-nucleotide ribosomal RNA is filed under the name Triticum aestivum (bread wheat). Its description in RNAcentral is "partial small subunit ribosomal RNA". The record is from RNAcentral. Lineage: Eukaryota; Viridiplantae; Streptophyta; Magnoliopsida; Poales; Poaceae.
AUGGUGCAAUACGUCGACCUCUGGCGCCUGGUACGCCACCCACCGCUUUCCUCCACGCCGGACGUGCUCUCCUGGCGUUGGACUACUUCCGCCACAUACUCGGCGAGCUCCUGCUACAAGGCGCUUUUCUUUGGUGCUUGCGAAGAUCCCCACUGGCGGCUCACCUGGCGUCCAUGGGCGCCUCUUCGCGUCAGGUUCUUCCUUUGGCUUGCCAUGCAAGACCGCUGCUGGACCGCGGAGCGGCUCGCCCGCCACGGCUUACCACACGAGGACACGUGCGCACUCUGUGAUCAAGAGCUCGAGUCCAUGCAUCACCUCCUCGCGGCCUGUUCGUUCUCGCGUCAGAUUUGGCAUGAGAUCCUCGGUCUGGAAACACCGCAACGCGUGCAUCUUCGACCAAGCCACUCCCUCGCUCACCCUCAUCUCCGAAACCAUCAAAGAUGA